This 439-nucleotide ribosomal RNA is filed under the name uncultured bacterium. RNAcentral's name for it is "partial 16S ribosomal RNA". It matches the Rfam family "Bacterial small subunit ribosomal RNA", at positions 339 to 795 of the family's 1533-position model. The record is from RNAcentral.
CUACGGGUUGCACCAGUGGGGAAUCUUAGACAAUGGGGGAAACCCUGAUCUAGCCAUGCCGCGUGAGUGAUGAAGGCCUUAGGGUCGUAAAGCUCUUUCGCCAGGGAUGAUAAUGACAGUACCUGGUAAAGAAACCCCGGCUAACUCCGUGCCAGCAGCCGCGGUAAUACGGAGGGGGUUAGCGUUGUUCGGAAUUACUGGGCGUAAAGCGCGCGUAGGCGGAUUAGAAAGUUGGGGGUGAAAUCCCGGGGCUCAACCCCGGAACUGCCUCCAAAACUACUAGUCUAGAGUUCGAGAGAGGUGAGUGGAAUUCCGAGUGUAGAGGUGAAAUUCGUAGAUAUUCGGAGGAACACCAGUGGCGAAGGCGGCUCACUGGCUCGAUACUGACGCUGAGGUGCGAAAGUGUGGGGAGCAAACAGGAUUAGAUACCCUUGUAGUC